UGGGGAAUUUUGGACAAUGGGCUCAAGCCUGAUCCAGCAAUGCCGCGUGCAGGAUGAAGGCCUUCGGGUUGUAAACUGCUUUUGUACGGAGCGAAAAGGUCUGCCCUAAUACGGUGGGCUCAUGACGGUGCCGUAAGAAUAAGCACCGGCUAACUACGUGCCAGCAGCCGCGGUAAUACGUAGGGUGCGAGCGUUAAUCGGAAUUACUGGGCGUAAAGCUUGCGCAGGCGGGUAUGCAAGACAGAGGUGAAAUCCCCGGGCUCAACCCGGGAACUGCAUUUGUGACUGUAUAGCUAGAGGACGGCAGAGGGGGAUGGAAUUCGGCGUGUAGCAGUGAAAUGCGUAGAUAUGCGGAGGAACACCGAUGGCGAAGGCAAUCCCCUGGGCCUGUACUGACGCUCAUGCACGAAAGCGUGGGGAGCAAACA
Molecule: ribosomal RNA, 427 nt
Filed under: uncultured bacterium
Lineage: Bacteria
Description: bacterial SSU rRNA
Rfam family: Bacterial small subunit ribosomal RNA
Source: RNAcentral